This 1081-nucleotide ribosomal RNA is filed under the name uncultured archaeon. RNAcentral's name for it is "bacterial SSU rRNA". It matches the Rfam family "Archaeal small subunit ribosomal RNA", at positions 80 to 1164 of the family's 1478-position model. The record is from RNAcentral.
GGCGGACGGCUCAAUAACACGUGAAUCACUUACCCUCGGGAUCGGGAUGACCCCGGGAAACUGGGGCUAACACCGGAUAGUGCAUCGAUCGCUGGAAUGCACGAUGCACGAAAGCUGCGGCGCCCAAGGAUAGGUCUAUGGCCGAUUAGGUUGUUGUUGAUGUAACGGAUCAACAAGCCUCCGAUCGGUACGGGUUGUGAGAGCAAUAGCCCGGAUAUGGGUUCUGAGAGAAGAACCCAGGUCCUACGGGACGCAUCACGCGCGAAAACUUUACAAUGUGCGCAAGCACGAUAAGGGAACUCUGAGUGCCUCCUUUGGAGGCUGUUCAGAUGUCUAAAAAGCAUCUGAAGGAAGGGCUGGGUAAGACUGGUGCCAGCCGCCGCGGUAACACCAGCAGCCCAAGUGGUGGUCACGUUUACUGGGUCUAAAGCGUCCGUAGCCGGCCGGGUAAGUUCCUUAGGAAAUUUGAUCGCUUAACGAUCAAGCUACUUGGGAAUACUACCUGGCUUGGGACCGGGAGAGGUCAGAGGUACUUCAAGGGUAGGAGUGAAAUCCGUUAAUCCUUGGGGGACCACCAGUAGCGAAGGCGUCUGAUCAGACCGGAUCCGACGGUUAGGGGACGAAGGCUAGGGGAGCGAACCGGAUUAGAUACCCGGGUUAUUCCUAGCUGUAAACGAUGCGGGCUAGGUGUUGGCAUUACUGCGAGUGAUGCCAGUGCCGAAGGGAAGCCGUUAAGCCCGCCAUCUGGGGAGUACGGUCGCAAGGCUGAAACUUAAAGGAAUUGGCGGGGGAGCACCACAACGGGUGGAGCUUGCGGUUCAAUUGGAUUCAACGCCGGAAAUCUCACCGGAGGCGACAGCAAGAUGAAGGUCAGGCUAAAGACCUUACCGGAUUAGCUGAGAGGUGGUGCAUGGCCGUCGGCAGUUCGUGUCAUGAGACAUCCUGUUAAGUCAGGCAACGGGCGAGACCCGUGCUCACAGUUGCCAGCAUCUCCGCAAGGAGGAUGGGCACUCUGCGAGGACCGCCAUCGCUGAGAUGGAGGAAGAAGCGGGCCACGGUAGGUCAGUAUGCCCCGAAUGCC